Molecule: ribosomal RNA, 263 nt
Filed under: Salmonella enterica subsp. enterica serovar Agona
Lineage: Bacteria; Pseudomonadati; Pseudomonadota; Gammaproteobacteria; Enterobacterales; Enterobacteriaceae
Also listed under: 1 other name
Description: partial 23S ribosomal RNA
Rfam family: Bacterial large subunit ribosomal RNA
Source: RNAcentral
GCGGAUGACCUGUGGCUGGGGGUGAAAGGCCAAUCAAACCGGGAGAUAGCUGGUUCUCCCCGAAAGCUAUUUAGGUAGCGCCUCGUGAAUUCAUCUCCGGGGGUAGAGCACUGUUUCGGCUAGGGGGUCAUCCCGACUUACCAACCCGAUGCAAACUGCGAAUACCGGAGAAUGUUAUCACGGGAGACACACGGCGGGUGCUAACGUCCGUCGUGAAGAGGGAAACAACCCAGACCGCCAGCUAAGGUCCCAAAGUCAUGGUU